AGAGUUUGAUCCUGGCUCAGAUUGAACGCUGGCGGCAUGCCUUACACAUGCAAGUCGAACGGCAGCACGGGAGCAAUCCUGGUGGCGAGUGGCGAACGGGUGAGUAAUAUAUCGGAACGUGCCCAGUCGUGGGGGAUAACGUAGAGAAAUUUACGCUAAUACCGCAUACGAUCUAAGGAUGAAAGCGGGGGACUCGCAAGGGCCUCGCGCGAUUGGAGCGGCUGAUAUCAGAUUAGGUUGUUGGUGAGGUAAAAGCUCACCAAGCCGACGAUCUGUAGCUGGCUUGAGAGAACGACCAGCCACACUGGGAAUGAGACACGGCCCAGACUCCUACGGGAGGCAGCAGUGGGGAAUUUAGGACAAUGGGCG
This 369-nucleotide ribosomal RNA is filed under the name uncultured bacterium. RNAcentral's name for it is "bacterial SSU rRNA". It matches the Rfam family "Bacterial small subunit ribosomal RNA", at positions 8 to 377 of the family's 1533-position model. The record is from RNAcentral.